GGGCGUAAAGGCGCGUAGGCGGCUUGGGCCUCUUGGGUGAGUCUUCUGGCUCCCCCGCUGCCUGCACCCGAAACUGUCCGGCUUGAGUAUGGGAGAGGUGAGUGGAAUUUCCGGUGUAACGGUGAAAUGCUUAUUUGUCGGAAGGAACACGUGUGGCGAAAGCGGCUCACUGGACCAUAACUGACGCUGAGGCACGAAAGCUAGGGGAGCAAACAGGAUUAGAUACCCUGGACCUCCUAACCCAAAACGAUGAUUGUUUGAUGUGGUCGGUACCCAAUCCUGCCAUGUCAAAUCUUUGGCUAUAAACAAUCCUCCUGGCGAGUACGGCCUCUGGGCUGAAACUCUUCGGAAUUGACGGGCGCCCGCUCAGGCAGCGGAGACUGUGGUUUACUUCCACGCACCGCGAAAAACCUUACCUGGACUCGAAAUGUAGACGGAAUCCGGCAUAACCCGUUCGUCUAGCAAUAAACCGCUAUAUAGCUUGCUGCAUGGCUGUCGUCAUGCUCGUGUCGUGAGAUGUUGGGUUAAGUCCCGCAACGAGCGCAACCCUUAUCUUCACCUGCUACUAUUUUUGAGACCACUCUGACAAACUCACCCUCGGAUAACGGGGAAGAGGUGGGGAAGACGUCGCUCCCUCAUGGUUUUUAGGGCCGUGGCUACACACGUGCUUCAAUGGGGUGGGGUGACUUGCUGCAAACCCGUGAGGGAGAGAUAAUCGGAUAACCCGCGCCUAAGUCCGGAUUGCAGUCUGCAACUCGCCUCCAUCAAACUGGGAUCUCUAGUACACGUCGAUCGACAUGCGACGCAGAAUCGU
This 814-nucleotide ribosomal RNA is filed under the name uncultured bacterium. Its description in RNAcentral is "bacterial SSU rRNA". It matches the Rfam family "Bacterial small subunit ribosomal RNA", at positions 556 to 1371 of the family's 1533-position model. The record is from RNAcentral.